This is a long non-coding RNA of Oncorhynchus masou masou (cherry salmon), 641 nucleotides long. RefSeq lists it as uncharacterized. NCBI's taxonomy places the organism in Eukaryota, Metazoa, Chordata, Actinopteri, Salmoniformes, Salmonidae. The transcript is spliced from 3 exons. The record is from RefSeq and is a predicted model, not a curated record.
AGCAGAGCUUGGUAAACAAGGGAGUAAUGAAGUGAUCUACAGGACUUUAGCUCAGCCGACAUUUUGAUACAGGAUGCAGUACAUCAAUAGAACACACCGGACUCUCCUCCACCAAUCAUAGAAGGAGAAUGGUCUAAUGCCUCCCAUCAAAAAGAGAGCUGGUCCAAGCAAGCACAGGUUGCACCUAAAACAUGACGAGCGUGACCUUCAACGACUACGGAGAGGAUAAUGCAAUAGUAUUAUCAGAACGCCACCUAGGACAAAAACACUUGGUGGAAAGCUGCUGAUGCCAUGUGACAAAAGCAGCUCUACAAGGAAUCAAUGACAAAUCUUGCUUCGAUGCUCUGGAGCCUGUUGUCAUCAUCACCAAGCGUUCAGACUCAGUCGGGAUCAGGUUUCAGCUGCUACGCAACGCUGACAUCAUUCCUCCCAUAGAUGGUCUGCCUGUAGAAGCACCGCCUGGACUGGACACAGCUUGACAAACAUAUCUUUUUGAGAAGAGGCUAUGGACAUCACAUGCCCUGCACCAAAGUCAAGGGCAGGACAGAAACAGGCUCUCCGAAUAUAGAUUCCCUUGUUCAUGCGUGGUUCGGGAAGGCCCAGUCAUGAGCACUAUCUGCAGUGCCUCUAUUCACAUGACU